Molecule: long non-coding RNA, 770 nt
Organism: Biomphalaria glabrata
Lineage: Eukaryota; Metazoa; Mollusca; Gastropoda; Planorbidae
Exons: 2
Source: RefSeq, a predicted model, not a curated record
CCAAACAUAUAUAACCACACUUAUACACCAUACACCAAAGUGCAUUUAUUAUAAAUAGUGCACUUAUAUUUCAGAUAUACUAAGAUAUUUGAUUUUAAAAAUUUUUCUGAAAUGAUUUUUUUUCUUGGAAAAUAACUAAUUGAUUAAAUAUUACGUACAAUAAUCAUACACCCUCACACAGAUAAUAUCCACAUACAUCAAUUCAUACUCGAUCAUAUAGUUAUAUAUAAUAUAUAUAAGACUUGUCUUCGAGUCCUUAGAUUAAUUAGGAAUGCAGUAUUUCCAGUGGCUACAUGUAACCUACAUAUUUUGCCACAUCCAGGGUGGGCUCAUAUAUAUACUUACCAGAUAUAUUUUGUUCCGUCAUCUGACUCAACCAAAUUCAAAACCUCCCAACUAUUGAUCCACGAUCUCACACACUGACCCAGAUUCGGGCAGCCCUCACGUCAACUAAACAAUGAGUUCACACAUCUGUGAUCCAGCACAGUACACACCAGCACACCCUAAAUAUGAGCUAAUGCUAACACUCUUGACCUUCCUGGCUCAAUCGGUCUUCUUAUCUUUAAGUUACCAAAUAAACACAAGGACUUUUUGACUUAAAACCUAUAGAAUACUAACAUUUACAAUGCGUGUGUUUGUCUAACAGAAGUGUUCGUUCUUUGAGCCAUUUAUUGGCUACUGAAAUUUCGAAGAAUUAGAAAUUGAAAAUAUGUACUAAGUGAAGAUUUGAUUGAUUGCAUCAAAAUUCUACAAAAAAUGAAUAAUUGAAA